RNAcentral lists this ribosomal RNA (600 nucleotides) under uncultured bacterium. RNAcentral describes it as "bacterial SSU rRNA". It matches the Rfam family "Bacterial small subunit ribosomal RNA", at positions 108 to 706 of the family's 1533-position model. The record is from RNAcentral.
GCGUACGCGUUAUGCAACCUACCUAUAAUUGGGGAAACAACCCCGAAGAAAUCGGGGCUAUUACCGCAUAACAUCAUGAAGUGGCAUCACUUUAUGAUCAAACCUCAGGGUUAUAGAUGGGCAUGCGUGACAUUAGCUAGUUGGUGAGGUAACGGCUCACCAAGGCUACGAUGUCUAGGGGGUCUGAGAGGAUGAUCCCCCAACUGGUACUGAGACACGGACCAGACUCCUACGGGAGGCAGCAGUAAGGAAUAUUGGUCAAUGGGCGAAAGCCUGAACCAGCCAUGCCGCGUGCAGGAUGAAGGCCCUCUGGGUUGUAAACUGCUUUUAUCUGGGAAGAAACACCCCGUUUCUACGGGGCUUGACGGUACCAGAGGAAUAAGCACCGGCUAACUCCGUGCCAGCAGCCGCGGUAAUACGGAGGGUGCAAGCGUUAUCCGGAUUUACUGGGUUUAAAGGGUAGCGUAGGCGGGCCUUUAAGUCAGUGGUGAAAUCUCCCGGCUUAACCGGGAAACUGCCAUUGAUACUAUUGGUCUUGAAUUCAGUUGAGGUGGGCGGAAUGUGUCGUGUAGCGGUGAAAUGCUUAGAUAUGACACAGAA